GACGAACGCUGGCGGCGUGCCUAAUACAUGCAAGUUGAGCGAUGAAGCUUGGUGCUUGCACCCAUUUGAAGAGCAGCGAACGGGUGAGUAACGCGUGGGGAAUCUGCCUUUGAGCGGGGGACAACAUUUGGAAACGAAUGCUAAUACCGCAUAACAACUUUAAACAUAAGUUUUAAGUUUGAAAGAUGCAAUUGCAUCACUCAAAGAUGAUCCCGCGUUGUAUUAGCUAGUUGGUGAGGUAAAGGCUCACCAAGGCGAUGAUACAUAGCCGACCUGAGAGGGUGAUCGGCCACGUUGGGACUGAGACACGGCCCAAACUCCUACGGGAGGCAGCAGUAGGGAAUCUUCGGCAAUGGACGAAAGUCUGACCGAGCAACGCCGCGUGAGUGAAGAAGGUUUUCGGAUCGUAAAACUCUGUUGGUAGAGAAGAACGUUGGUGAGAGUGGAAAGCUCAUCAAGUGACGGUAACUACCCAGAAAGGGACGGCUAACUACGUG
This 497-nucleotide ribosomal RNA is filed under the name uncultured bacterium. Its description in RNAcentral is "partial 16S ribosomal RNA". It matches the Rfam family "Bacterial small subunit ribosomal RNA", at positions 28 to 507 of the family's 1533-position model. The record is from RNAcentral.